RNAcentral lists this ribosomal RNA (529 nucleotides) under uncultured bacterium. RNAcentral's name for it is "bacterial SSU rRNA". It matches the Rfam family "Bacterial small subunit ribosomal RNA", at positions 776 to 1297 of the family's 1533-position model. The record is from RNAcentral.
UAAUAGAUACCCCGAGGUACGUCCACGCCCUAAACGAUGCGAACUGGAUGGUUGGGUACAUUACGGUACUCAGUGUCGAAGCUAACGCGUUAAGUUCGCCGCCUGGGGAGUACGGUCGCAAGACUGAAACUCAAAGGAAUUGACGGGGGCCCGCACAAGCGGUGGAGUAUGUGGUUUAAUUCGAUGCAACGCGAAGAACCUUACCUGGCCUUGACAUCUGUCGAAUCCUGCAGAGAUGCGGGAGUGCCGCAAGGAACGACAAGACAGGUGCUGCAUGGCUGUCGUCAGCUCGUGUCGUGAGAUGUUGGGUUAAGUCCCGCAACGAGCGCAACCCUUGUCCUUAGUUGCCAGCACGUAAUGGUGGGAACUCUAAGGAGACUGCCGGUGACAAACCGGGAGGAAGGUGGGGAUGACGUCAAGUCCUCAUGGCCCUUACGGCCAGGGCUACACACGUACUACAAUGGUCGGUACAGAGGGUUGCGAAGCCGCGAGGUGGAGCCAAUCCCGAGAAAGCCGAUCCCAGUCCGGA